CAGUCGCCGCGGGAAUACGUAGGGUGCGAGCGUUAAUCGGAAUUACUGGGCGUAAAGCGUGCACAGGCGGUUUUGUAAGACAGGCGUGAAAUCCCCGGGCUCAACCUGGGAAUGGCGCUUGUGACUGCAAAGCUAGAGUGCGGCAGAGGGGGAUGGAACUCCGCGUGUAGCAGUGAAAUGCGUAGAUAUGCGGAGGAACACCGAUGGCGAAGGCAAUCCCCUGGGCCUGCACUGACGCUCAUGCACGAAAGCGUGGGGAGCAAACAGGAUUAGAUACCCCGGUAGUCCCUGUCUCUUAUAC
RNAcentral lists this ribosomal RNA (301 nucleotides) under uncultured bacterium. RNAcentral describes it as "partial 16S ribosomal RNA". It matches the Rfam family "Bacterial small subunit ribosomal RNA", at positions 509 to 807 of the family's 1533-position model. The record is from RNAcentral.